This 473-nucleotide ribosomal RNA is filed under the name uncultured bacterium. RNAcentral describes it as "bacterial SSU rRNA". It matches the Rfam family "Bacterial small subunit ribosomal RNA", at positions 355 to 825 of the family's 1533-position model. The record is from RNAcentral.
UCGAGAGGCUUCGGCAAUGGGGGAAACCCUGACCGAGCGACGCCGCGUGGGUGAUGAAGAUUCUCGGAUCGUAAAACCCUGUCAGGUGGGAUGAAAAACCAUUCGGUUAAUACCCGAGUGGCUUGACAGUACCACCAGAGGAAGCUCCGGCCAACUCCGUGCCAGCAGCCGCGGUAACACGGGGGGAGCAAGCGUUGUUCGGAAUCACUGGGCGUAAAGGGCGUGUAGGCGGCUCGGUAAGUGGAAUGUGAAAUGCCCCGGCUCACCCGGGGACCUGCAUCCCAAACUGCCGGGCUUGAGUAUGGGAGAGGAUGAGGGAAUUCCUGGUGUAGCGGUGAAAUGCGUAGAUAUCAGGAGGAAUACCGGUGGCGAAAGCGACUCUCUGGACGAUUACUGACGCUGAGGCACGAAAGCGUGGGGAGCAAACAGGAUUAGAUACCCCUGUAGUCCCUGAGCGGGCUGGCAAGGCGCAU